CCCUUAGAUGUCCGGGGCCGCACGCGCGCUACACUGAAGGAAUCAGCGUGGCUUUCUCCCUGACCCGAAAGGGUUGGGAAACCCGUUGAAUCUCCUUCGUGAUAGGGAUUGGGGCUUGAAAUUGUUCCCCAUGAACGAGGAAUUCCCAGUAAGCGCAAGUCAGCAGCUUGCGUUGAUUACGUCCCUGCCCUUUGUACACACCGCCCGUCGCUACUACCGAUUGAAUGGUUUAGUGAGAUCUUCGGAUUGGCGCCACUGCGGCUCAGCAAUGGGCUCGGUGGAUGCCGAAAAGUUGAUCAAACUUGAUCAUUUAGAGGAAGUAAAAGUCGUAACA
Molecule: ribosomal RNA, 334 nt
Filed under: uncultured eukaryote
Lineage: Eukaryota
Description: partial 18S ribosomal RNA
Rfam family: Eukaryotic small subunit ribosomal RNA
Source: RNAcentral